This 69-nucleotide transfer RNA is filed under the name Ambassis gymnocephalus (bald glassy). RNAcentral's name for it is "tRNA-Pro". It matches the Rfam family "tRNA". Rfam says of the family: Transfer RNA (tRNA) molecules are approximately 80 nucleotides in length. The record is from RNAcentral. Lineage: Eukaryota; Metazoa; Chordata; Actinopteri; Ambassidae.
CAGAAAGUAGUUUAGUAAGAAUCCUAGCUUUGGGAGUUAGGGGCGAGGGUGAAAUCCCCUUCUUUCUGA